This 253-nucleotide ribosomal RNA is filed under the name uncultured bacterium. Its description in RNAcentral is "partial 16S ribosomal RNA". It matches the Rfam family "Bacterial small subunit ribosomal RNA", at positions 524 to 776 of the family's 1533-position model. The record is from RNAcentral.
UACGGAGGGUGCAAGCGUUAUCCGGAUUCACUGGGUUUAAAGGGUGCGUAGGUGGGUUGGUAAGUCAGUGGUGAAAUCUCCGUGCUUAACAUGGAACUGCCAUUGAUACUACUGAUCUUGAAUUUUCAGGAAGGUAAGCGGAAUAUGUCAUGUAGCGGUGAAAUGCUUAGAUAUGACAUAGAACACCAAUUGCGAAGGCAGCUUACUACAGGAAUAUUGACACUGAUGCACGAAAGCGUGGGGAUCAAACAGG